This 424-nucleotide ribosomal RNA is filed under the name uncultured bacterium. RNAcentral's name for it is "bacterial SSU rRNA". It matches the Rfam family "Bacterial small subunit ribosomal RNA", at positions 384 to 793 of the family's 1533-position model. The record is from RNAcentral.
UGAUGCAGCCAUGCCGCGUGUGUGGAAGAAAGGCCUUCGGGUUGUAAAGCACUUUCAGUAGGGAGGAAGGUAGUGUAGUUAACACCUGCAUUAUUUGACGUUACCUACAGAAGAAGCACCGGCUAACUCCGUGCCAGCAGCCGCGGUAAUACGGAGGGUGCGAGCGUUAAUCGGAAUUACUGGGCGUAAAAGCGCAUGCAGGCGGCCUGUUAAGUCAGAUGUGAAAGGCCCGGGGCUUAAACCUCGGAAUUGCAUUUGAAAACUGGCAGGCUAGAGUCUUGUAGGAGGGGGUAGAAUUUCAGGUGUAGCGGUGAAAUGCGUAGAGAUCUGAAGGAAUACCAGUGGCGAACGGCGGCCCCCUGGACAAAGACUGACGCUCAGAUGCGAAAGCGUGGGGAGCAAACAGGAUUAGAUACCCUGGUAG